ACACCUCAACUCUUGCGGUUUUGCCGUGAUGAGCUUGGACUUUGGGGGUCUUGCUGGCCUGUGGUCAGCUCCUCUCAAAUGAAUCAGCUUGCCAGUGUUUGGUGGCGUCACGGGUGUGAUAACUAUCUACGCUUGCGGCUUCCACCAGGUAACCUUCAGUGAUGGAGGUUCGCUGGAGCUCAUAAACGUCUCUCCUCAGCGAGGACAGCUUCUUGAAC
This 218-nucleotide unclassified non-coding RNA is filed under the name uncultured Thelephoraceae. Its description in RNAcentral is "sequence contains ITS2". Lineage: Eukaryota; Fungi; Basidiomycota; Agaricomycetes; Thelephorales; Thelephoraceae. The record is from RNAcentral.